Molecule: long non-coding RNA, 200 nt
Filed under: Phoenix dactylifera (date palm)
Lineage: Eukaryota; Viridiplantae; Streptophyta; Magnoliopsida; Arecales; Arecaceae
Description: long non-coding RNA (PDAC_LNC002937)
Source: RNAcentral
UGAUCUCAGCCUCCCUCCUCCCAAGUCCCAACACCUCUCUCUCUCCUAUUCACUCCUUGUUCUAUUGUUUUAGGAAACACAUAGUACUCUUCUCUGUCUCUCUCUCUCUCUCUGUCUGCAAACGCAUGUAAAUACCGCUUAAAGCCCUAAAUAGUUCCCCUCCCUUUGUUCUAUUUGUUCCCACUCUACCUAAACCCGCC